Lontra canadensis (Northern American river otter) is the source of this 335-nucleotide long non-coding RNA. RefSeq lists it as uncharacterized. The record is from RefSeq and is a predicted model, not a curated record. Lineage: Eukaryota; Metazoa; Chordata; Mammalia; Carnivora; Mustelidae. The transcript is spliced from 3 exons.
UGUUGGGCAGCAGGAUGCUCAUCACGUGACCUCUCGAUCGCCGCCACCCUCACGGAGCAGAGUUUGAACCUGCAGAGGGAAGAAGGCCAUGGAGGGGGUGGAGGGAGCAUUCCAACCUAAGGAAAUAUUAAUUAAUAUUGUCCAUCUUCCAGACACUGAGCUAAUCUCUUUCAUGUACAGUAUCUGUUAACCCUUAAAAAAUCCUAUAAGACUUAGAAGUCAUCUAUUCUGGAAGAUGUUCCCUGGGCACAUGAGAAGAAUGUGUGUUCUGCUGUUGUUUCAUGGACCGUUAUGUGUAUGCCAGGUCUAGUAGAUAUAAUGUGCAGUUCAAGACU